Gossypium raimondii (Peruvian cotton) is the source of this 107-nucleotide small nucleolar RNA. It matches the Rfam family "Plant small nucleolar RNA R71". From Rfam's summary of the family: R71 is a member of the C/D box family of snoRNAs containing the C (UGAUGA) and D (CUGA) box motifs. Multiple nearly identical copies of this snoRNA have been identified in Arabidopsis, and it is thought to function as a 2'-O-ribose methylation guide for 18S ribosomal RNA. Lineage: Eukaryota; Viridiplantae; Streptophyta; Magnoliopsida; Malvales; Malvaceae. The record is from Rfam.
AUUCCGUGAUGAGGGCACUUCCAUCAUAAUUAUUUGUACCUUUCCCAUGCCUCAUACAAUGACUUGUCAUCCAUUUGUUGGAAAGCAGUGAUCUUGUUCCUCAACUU